AGCUAUAUCGUUUAAAAUAGGACAUUAAAUUGCAAAUUUAAAGGUAAGUAAGUUUUUAUAGCUU
RNAcentral lists this transfer RNA (64 nucleotides) under Trigonopterus singkawangensis. RNAcentral describes it as "tRNA-Cys". The record is from RNAcentral. Lineage: Eukaryota; Metazoa; Arthropoda; Insecta; Coleoptera; Curculionidae.